AUACGGGGGGUGCAAGCGUUAUUCGGAUUUAUUGGGCGUAAAGAGCGCGUAGGCGGCUUGGUAAGUCAGAUGUGAAAGCCCGGGGCUCAACCCCGGAAGUGCAUUUGAAACUAUCAGGCUUGAGUAUGCGAGAGGGAAGUGGAAUUCCUGGUGUAGAGGUGAAAUUCGUAGAUAUCAGGAGGAACACCGGUGGCGAAGGCGACUUCCUGGACCAAUACUGACGCUGAGGCGCGAAGGCGUGGGGAGCAAACAGAAUUAGAAACCCCAGUAGUCC
Molecule: ribosomal RNA, 274 nt
Filed under: uncultured bacterium
Lineage: Bacteria
Description: partial 16S ribosomal RNA
Rfam family: Bacterial small subunit ribosomal RNA
Source: RNAcentral